Molecule: long non-coding RNA, 8078 nt
Filed under: Olea europaea (common olive)
Lineage: Eukaryota; Viridiplantae; Streptophyta; Magnoliopsida; Lamiales; Oleaceae
Description: long non-coding RNA (OEUR_LNC003489)
Source: RNAcentral
UUUUUUGGGUCAAAAUUAAAAUGUCGGUCAAAUCCAUCUGAAAUAUAAUUUUAAACCCCUUUUAAAAUUCAAAUUUAAUACCUCUUUUCGAAAAUUGCAUUUUGACCCUCGAUUUAAAAUUAAAAACAGGUCCUUCAAUUUCGAAAAAUUGCAUGAUAGGUCCCUACUUUAAAAAUUGCAAUAUGACCAUAAUAUCUUAAUUGCAAAUAGGGGCAUCCAAUUUGACAAAUUGCAAUAGAGGCUCCCAUCUCUGAAUCCAUCACACUUUUCUCUCAGGCGGCGCCACCAAUCACCAACUCCCACAUCGCCAUCUUUAUCUAAAUUCACCAUUGACCUCUCCUAGGAACUUCAGUACUCCUUCCACCUCUAAAGGACCUUCGUGAGCCUCUAUCACUAUUUCACCUGCUCUUUAUCAUAUCAUCAAGAGAUAUAUCUGGAGAAGCCAUUAAUUAAGAAAACAAGAAAACCCUAUACUAAACAAGGCAAAUUUGGAUCGAAUUUGAAAUUUUCCAUGACCAAAUUUUCUAAAGGAAAAAAAAAACCAUAAAUAAAGACGACAAAAUGAGUGGCAACUAUGAGAUCUAAAAGAGAUGAGAAUGUUGAUUGAUUGCACAAAGCGAGGCUUCGGAAGACCAAGGGUUAGAAGAGAGAUAGUGUAUUGGAAGUAUUGACUUCUGACCCUUUUUUCGCGAUUCCGUUCUCAAGAAAUUGAUGGAAGCUUCGCCAUUAAAAAUGUAGAGUUGGGUUUUGAUGCGAUUGAUUUUCGUGGGACGGAUGAUAAAGAAUAGGAUUUAGCGGGUUUGGCAAUGGAAAAACUGCUAAAAAAACAAGAACAACAUGAUCAGCCAACGUUUGAUUAUUCGAUGAUGCAAAACAAUUUCUAACAAGUAAAAAUUAGAAACUUUAGAAUUAUUCAGUUAGAGAUUGAGAAAGAAUACUGGUUUUAUAAAGGAUUCUGAUAUUAGCAUGGAGCUCUUAUAUCAGUUGUUGAAUUUAACAAUAAUCAUGUUAAGAAACAAGAAUCACAAUUCCAAAUUGAUAGUUUAAGAUUCAUACAUGCGGAAAAGACAUCUUAGAUAUGAAUAUUAGCAGUUAGAUCUUCCUCUUCUUACUCUUCAAAAAUAUUGAUUGUUAAUGGGUGCAAACCAAUAAAACGAUAUGGAGAGGAACGGGGGCCUUUUAUAUAAAAAUUUAUUGAGCCGUUUCAUUAAUUACUUAAACCCAAUUAGGGUUUAUAUAUUUUGGCCCACAUACUUAAAUUACAAAAUUAUAUAAAAUAUAAUUCGUAAGGUGUAAAAUAGUCCAAAUGAUCACUUAACAUAUUGAGCUUAAUCACAUUAUCAUUAUGAGUCAUAUAUUUAAUCCGUAAAAUUUGCAAUCAAACGGGAAGCCCAUAAUUCAUUAUUAUUCUAACACUACAAUCUGCCCAGUGACAAUUACCGGGGCUAGCAUAGCAAAAUAUUCUACUAAAUGGGCCACGGAGUAUACAUUUCUGAUUGAGAGCACAAUUUAAAAACACUCGCAAGAAUUUAGAAAGAUAAAUUAUGGAUGCUACUUUUGACCUUUUUAUGGUUCCAAAUUGGGGAUUUUGAGUCGUGACUAAGUUACAGUUUGUUCUUUGUCCUUCCUCAGGUGAAGAUUCAUUUCAUCAUCUAGUCUUAUUGAUAUUUUCAGAUUUAAAAUAUGAGCCAUUUUUAAUUUUAUUGGCUUUGCGAAUCCAAUACUCCAUGUCAUUGUUUACCAUGAAAUAAAUAUAAUCUUCAAUUGAUCAAACAAACACAAAGUGAGUUCCAAAUCAAUAAUUAUAACGGAAUUAAUACUGUGAAUUAAAGAUAAACCGUUCACUUUCAAUUAUCACAGAGAUUGACACCAAAAAUGAAUUGAAUAGGGCUCAGAUCAAUAACCCAAUAACACACAAAGCAACUCCAUGAGAAGAAUCAUACUCAAAAUCACAGAGGAAACCGUCCAAGGAAUCACACAGAGACAUCUGCUCAUGGAGGCAGCAAGGCGACAACAGAGCAAGGGAGAAAUCAAGAAAUAGAAAGCCAAAUCAAGUAGCCAAGUCAGAAGCUAGGAUGUCGAAAAGGUAAGACACAGAGGGUUUCACAAAAGGGACCGCGCGAAGGAGGUAGCAAAGUCAUGGAGAGGAAGUAGCCGAAAGGUCUUGCCGAAAAUGGGGCUAAAGUAUUAAAAUUGUGUGCAUGUAUAACAAUACCUCAAAGGGCACAAAAUAUAUACAGUACACUUUAGGUCAAGUAUGUGGGUCGGACCCUAAAUGUAAUACUCGAUCCAAUUUCUUUUAUGGGUUACUAAUUGUGGUUAUUAGGUCGACUAUUUUAAAUAGUCUCAAUAAUAGGUUCCAAAUGAACCAAAUGAUUUUAAUCCGAUCCGACAAAUUCAUCAUCGCUCCAGGUUUAUAUGGUAUCAAAAUACCUAACAAACAUCCACUUUGAUGUUAAAAAUACAUGCAAAAGAGAAAGAACUAGUUUCACACAACGUGAUUUCAAAUAAAAUUGAAACAUCACAUACUUUUACAGAUGUUUAGAAGUGCAAGGCAACUUAUAAACUUUACCAAGGGAGCACCUUAGUGCCCAUACACGCGGGGUUAUAAUCUGAAUGCACUUUUUCAAGUUUUAUCAAAUCUUGAGACACCAUAUCUCUAUUAAAAUAUAGCCUAACAUCAAUAUAUUUAGUGCAUUCAUAAAACAAGGUAUUCUUACACAGAUGAAUAGUAGGUGACUAUUAGAGUAUACUAUCAUAUUAUCAUUUAAAACACCCAGUUCAUUAAGUUUCCCAAUAUUUGGGACUAGGAUUAGAUAUGUACAUACUUAACACAGUUAUAGUUAAAGCUAAAUCAGGUCUAGUACAGACCAUAACGUACACAACAGAGUCAAUGACAUUUGAAUGGGGAAUAUUAUUCAUAAAUUCUUUUUCUUCAUCAUUAGAAGGCGAUUGUUGUUUUUGACAAAAUAAAAUAGUUUUCAAGAGGUAGAGAAGCAAUUUUGCAAUCAAGAAUGCCUAAUUUCUUCAAAACUUUAAGUGCAUAAGGAGUUUGAUGCACAUACAAGCAAGAAUUAGACAUAUCCCAUUUAAUCUCUAUACUAAGGAUCCUCCUAGCAUGUCCUUGGUCUUUCAUAAAAAAAUCAUUUUCUAACUCCAUUUUAAUCUUGCUUACCACCUUUAUGUUAUGUCCAAUUAACAACAUGUCAUCCACUUAAAUUAACAAUUACAUACACUCUAUAUUAGUGCUAUGUUGUCGGUAAUACAAGCAAUGGUCAAACUCGUUGGUAUUGUAGAAUCAAACUUAAGCUGUUGGAUGAGAUAUUUAGAACACUUGAUCACGUUUGACAUGUUUCAAAUUUGAACAAAAAUCCCAUGCCGUUGGCUACUCUUAAAUCAAAAGGGUAUUGGUUAAUUGGUAGAGGUGGAGCUUUGAAAGUUUGCAAAGGUGUCCGGGUUGUAUUGGAAGGAUGGAAAAAGUCCCAAUUAUAUCUUGCAAGGUUGUGAAGAAUUGUUGAAGAACAAUUAGCAAAAGUGUUUAAUACCGUAGUAGGUGUUCAAUUUGGUACAAUACUAUUAGUAUUUAGUUUGGCAUUUGUGUAAAAAAAUACAUCUCAAUCGAGUUUAGAGUAUAUGGGUAAUACCAUUUUGUCAUCAUCCCAUGCAUUUAAUUGCAAGGGAUAGACUCAUUGGAGAAAGGUACGAAAAAGCUGAUUUUCUUCUGCAUGCUUCAAGUGUACUUGAAGGUAUUCUAUCUAGGAAGGGGCCUCCUACAAAAGCAGUUAGGGAAGAUUUUGUUUCAGGAUAUAUUCGUCCUUGUUUGGUAAGUUUUAAAUUAUUUGUGAUUUUUUGGGAACCUAAGGUAAUUCUGCGAACUAGUGCUUGGAUUCAUUUAUUUUAGUUGGGUAUUGAGUAAGAGGUGGAGAUUUUUGUUCAUUAAAGAAGUUAGUUUGAUUCUUGUUGAAGAGUUCAGUUCAUUCGUUCAGUUGACCUUUUUUUCAGGUGGAAAAAUUUUGGACAGUCAUUCAUUGUAGUAAAAUUUGUGUCAGGGUGAGUUUGUGUUCCAAAUUCAUAUAAAUUUAUGUGGUUUAGUGUAUUGGGCCUUGAAGACGUUUAAAUAGUGUCCAAGGAAGAAAAAGGGAUCGACGGCACUAACCUACUGCUAGCUGGAUGCUCGAGCGACAAGACGAAAUUUUCAACAGUAGACUGCCAUCCGCUGGUGCUUGAGGGCCACUGUCGUCUGGGAUUUUCCUUGUUUGUUUAUUGCACGCAUUUUUGAUCUAAUUUGUAUCUUUUGGACUAUUAUUAAGAUUUGACAUGUACCCCUAUAAAUAGUAAAUUCUACUUUAAAAUUAGCCCUUGUUUGGUACCAAUUAAAAUCUAAAUUUUAAUCUAAGUCAAAGUAAAUAAUUAAUUUUAACCAUAUAUUUUAUGGGUUUCACAACUUUUCAGCCACACAUUUUAUCAGCUUUUAUCAAAAUCUACUAAAAAUCUGAUUUUAAUCCUUACCAAACAAGGGCUUAGAUUUAUUACUGAGAUUAGAAUUAUUGCAAGAGACACAAUAUUAUUUUAAUUUCUUUCUCCAUUAUAGUUGAAUAAAAUCUCAAAUUCAUCUAACAAAUUAAAUUCUUGUUCUAGCGUUAUUGUUGUUUAUGAUCAAUACUUCAUAUGUGGCAUAUACCUCGUCCUAUUUUCAAAAUUGUCUUAAGAAAUUUUCUUAUACAGAGUAUGCAUGUAAUAGUUACAUUACCUCUAGAUAACAUAUCACAUAAUAUGUUUAGAAGUUCCGUAAAGUUAUUAUUUGACCAACCUCUAAUAGUUUUAAGCUUAUAUGAGGUCACAAUUGAAGAAUUUUUUUUGUAUUUUUCAUUUCUUGGAUACAAAGGAGUUUCCAUAUCCUUCAGCAAUCGACUAAUGUCAUCAUCCAAAUCCUCUUCAAAAGCAUCGUUUUUAUGUUCUUCAUUUGUGUGUGCAGCUUCUAACAAGUUGAAUAUUUCAAUCUUACUUGUAGAAUCAACAUUACUUAUUAGAUUUUCUCGAUGGUGAAACCAAUUUGUGUAAGUCAGAUCCAUUCCUCUUAUGACCAUGAACAAUAUUUAUAUAUCGAUGGCUUAAGUUUCGACAACGUCUACAAGGACAUAACAUAUUAUCUGGAUUGUCUAAAUUAUGAUGAGCAGUGUUGAUAAAAUUUUCUGAUGCUUUUUUAUGUACUCUUGUGAGGCUCUAACAAAUUUAAAAGACAAUGUUCUGAGAUUUAACUAUAAAAUGUUAAAUACAUAAAUUACACGACAAAAUACAAAUUACUUAUUAGGACGCACCCAUUCUUUAUCCAUAAUUUGUGGAACCCAAAUAUUAUCCUAGUAGUAUAUUGGAGUAUGCCUUUAUUCGAGACGAAACAUUUCCAUCUUAUUUAGCAAUAUCUAGCUGUGCAUAACAAAGACAAAAUUUUGUGUCUAAAAAAGCUAUGUCAACAAUAUUUGUGUCCAAUGCCACUUAAAAUCGGAAAUUACAAUGAAUCCAAAAUCAAACAUAUGUAUAUUUGAUUGAAGAUUAUUUCUAAACUGUAAUUGGAACAACUGUCUAUUUCACUAUUUUAAAGUUUUUUAUGCAUUUGGGAACCUAUUGAACAUGGGAGAAUUUUCCAAGAUGAAAAGCAAUAGAGAAAACAUGACUUACUGGUGUCAAAUUCGUCAAAGGUCUCAAAGCCUUUAAAUCAAGAAAUUGUCAAGAAAACAUGACUCGAUACUUAUUUUGCUAAACUGUCAAGGAAGUAGGAUUCAAAUUUCCUUUAAUAGCCUUUGAAUCGUUAUUUUAUAUGAACAAGUCACAAGGCCAAUCAGGCUAUGAAAUUCUUAUUUUCCAAAUUUGUCGAGAAAGUGAGAAGUUUGCAAAUUAACAUAGUAAAUUUGCAGAUAACAAAAUCUCAAAAAGCUUUGAAAUUUAUGGAAAUAGGAAAUCUGCAAAAAAACAUUACAACUUAUUUCUAUGAAAUCCAAACAAAAUAAAUUAAUAGCUUAUUCAAAAGCCAGUGAAAGGAAUGAAAAAUUAAUAACAGAAUGGUAAAAUAUUAUUAUCAGAAGGAGAACACAAGUUACCUUCAUCACACCUCUAUAAAUAGCAAAAUAUUUUUUCACAAAAUGUGAUAUCUCCUAUACACCAUAAAAACACUGAAUAACAUAUAACACUUAACAAAGUAAAGAAUCAUAUAAACUCAAACUCAAAAAAAAAAAAAAAAAAAUAAAUAAAAUAAAAUAUAGGGACCUUGAGAGAAAUUUACACACAGAUUUGUAGAGGGUUCUUUGUUGUAGUAGAUGUAACAACUCAAAAAAGUUUUUUUUUUUUUUUUUUGAAGGAAGCGAAAGAGAAACAAUCUCCCCGUUCUCCAGAUUCAAAAUGUAGAUGUUUCAAAUUUCCCUUUCACUAUUAAACAAAAAAUUUCAUAACAGAGAGAAGGAUAGAAUUAGCAGGUAAAAGUUGAAAAAUUCAAGAUGAAUCCGUGGUGAUGAAGGGUGAUUUGCUGAAAAAAAAAUAAAAAAAAAUAAAGAAUGAAUUGGUAGGGAAAAGGAGACACAAGGAACAGGGUAGAGGAAAACAAACGAUAUUUGGGGGGGCGAGGGACCAAAAUAGGGUAGAAAUAGUGGAAUUCAAUAUUUGAGUAAAUUAUGGAUGGAAGCAUUUUAGGCUUGGCCUUUUAAUAAAUGCUAUUAUAUAAUAUUUUAAUAAAAUUCAAUUUUAUUUUAUAGCAUUAUCAAUAAGAAUGUUAUAUUUAAAUGUUAUAAAAUGUGUAAAAUGUUGUACUCUGUUAUCCUCCGGUGUCAAUAUUGUGCACCAAAAGUGCUAAGGUCUAGGCACCAACCACUUAAUAAUUAUUCGAAGCUGACAAUGAGAAGAUAUGUUCAUGAGUUUAUUAGGCAAUAAACAGAUUCAAGGAAGUGCCCAGGGGCGAAUCCAUGUUAGCUCUAGUGCAGGCAGGUGCCUGCAUUGAACUUCAGGCCCAAAAAUUUUGAGAAAAAGAUAUAUAGAAUAUAGAAAGAGGUGUAAGGAUUUUUAAUUAAAGAUGGGUUUGUAUGUGUGAAUAAUUGUGUGUUAAAUUAUAGGCUAUCGAAUUCGGUUGAGCCCAAUUAAAGUGAUCUAAUAAGGCUUAGGUUUUGGAUUUUAAUGUAUCCAAUUAAAGUAUGGGUUUACAUAUGUGUAGAGACCGGACCCAAAUCCUAAUUCUAUGAUGGACCGAAUUAGGUCAAAGGGCGUCCCUAUAUAAAUAGGUUAUGGUCCCCAGAUCACACGCACGUAUUAUUCAUUCUCUACUGCAUUCCAUCACAGAGAAGAAAAAGAGACUGCGUAUAGAUUUGAAAGAUUACACUGCGAAAUUCAUAUUGCAUUAACCAUGUCCGAUUUAGGUAUAUUUUCGCUUUAAUUCUUGCAUUUCUUGAUGAUUUAACAUGAAAUAUUCGAUAAUUUAAAGCACUAAAUUAUCCAACAAGAGGAAGAUAAGAGGGAUUGGCACUUUAAAUAUUGCAAGAAAAAUGAUGGGGACUGCCGAGAAAUGAGUGGAACUGCUCCACCAAAUUAGGAAAAUUAUUCCACCAGUAAACACAUUCGCCCUCUUUUGUUUUUAGAGAUUGCUUGUGUCAAUUUUCAUUUGACAAAAUAUUUGGUUCAAAUGCUGUGGCUUUUGUGAGCAAAAAUUGUCUAUUAAUUCGUGAUAUAGUUAGAUGCUAUGUGGUUUUCUGCGACUCACCCUACCUUCUUUAGAGCACAUACCUUCUUGCGUAGAUGGGUGUACCAGUAGACAGAAGACAGUUGCUUUUCAAAUCAUUAAAAGAAAAGUCAUUAAGAAAUUAUGAUUCUUGAUGUUUUGAGGUUGUGAAUUCUCAAUUUCUCUUUUAAGAACCCAAUUCUGAAAAGCCAAAAAGAGUUUAAAAUUUAAAAACAUCUCAGAUGUUCAAGAAAUUAAGCAAAAAAUGAGAAUAAUUUUUGUUUGCAAAAACAUGGAAACGUACCUGGUAUUGCAAGAUUGCUGGAGGUUCUUCUUCUAGUCUUGAAGCCAUUGAGAGAGAGAGAGUGGUGCGGGUUUUGGG